This 663-nucleotide ribosomal RNA is filed under the name uncultured cyanobacterium. RNAcentral's name for it is "bacterial SSU rRNA". It matches the Rfam family "Bacterial small subunit ribosomal RNA", at positions 99 to 795 of the family's 1533-position model. Lineage: Bacteria; Bacillati; Cyanobacteriota. The record is from RNAcentral.
CGGACGGGUGAGUAACGCGUGAGAACCUACCUUCAGGACGGGGACAACAGUUGGAAACGACUGCUAAUACCCGAUGUGCCGAGAGGUGAAAGAUUUAUUGCCUGAAGAUGGGCUCGCGUCUGAUUAGCUAGAUGGUGGGGUAAGAGCCUACCAUGGCGACGAUCAGUAGCUGGUCUGAGAGGAUGAGCAGCCACACUGGGACUGAGACACGGCCCAGACUCCUACGGGAGGCAGCAGUGGGGAAUUUUCCGCAAUGGGCGAAAGCCUGACGGAGCAAUACCGCGUGGGGGAGGAAGGUCUUUGGAUUGUAAACCUCUUUUAUCAGGGAAGAAAAAAGUGACGGUACCUGAUGAAUAAGCAUCGGCUAACUCCGUGCCAGCAGCCGCGGUAAUACGGAGGAUGCGAGCGUUAUCCGGAAUUAUUGGGCGUAAAGAGUCCGUAGGUGGUUAUGCAAGUCUGCCGUUAAAGAAUGGAGCUUAACUCCAUAGGAGCGGUGGAAACUGCAAGACUAGAGUACAGUAGGGGUAGCAGGAAUUCCCAGUGUAGCGGUGAAAUGCGUAGAUAUUGGGAAGAACAUCGGUGGCGAAAGCGUGCUACUGGGCUGAAACUGACACUGAGGGACGAAAGCUAGGGUAGCGAAAGGGAUUAGAUACCCCUGUAGCC